This is a long non-coding RNA of Chelonus insularis, 1174 nucleotides long. RefSeq lists it as uncharacterized. Lineage: Eukaryota; Metazoa; Arthropoda; Insecta; Hymenoptera; Braconidae. The record is from RefSeq and is a predicted model, not a curated record. The transcript is spliced from 3 exons.
UGAAUGAUCUAUUGUUGUUGUUUUUUUUUUAUUUUAUUUAACGGUAGACAAGGUCAGUUUAUCCGUAGACUUUCUGUUGAGACAGACAUGCAAGUGCAGGUCGACAUAAUUAAUCUUCAUGCAUAAUUUCUUAUUGCCAGAGGCAUAGAUUCCAAUGUUUAAAUAUAAGAAAAUAAAUUUAUUCUCUUAAUCGUUCGUUGUAGACACUAAUAUCUGUUCCAGUUUUCACGAUUCAUCCUAUUGAAUAUUUACUUACGAACAUGGAAUAAAAGUUAUCAAUAUGGUACUUUCAGUAACGAUUAUAACUCUAGAAUCUUCUAUAUCAAUGCUACGUCACGUUUUAUUAAUGUAACCAUCUGAAUCAUGGAAUACAUUUGAUUACUCAAGGAUCCCAAUGGCUAACGGACCAAGUAUCAUCUGGGAACCCUAUACUAGCUUGGACCUUUAAAUGUCCUCGAAUUAUAUAUGACGAUCUAUACUCGUUUAACACUUACAAGAUGACUCGACUAUUUUUGCAAUCUUCAUUGAGACAAUGUCGAAUCGUAUAGUCAUAGUUAUACAGGUUGUUUAGUUUGAUGCAAUAAAAUUGUAUCUUGCUGUAAUGCGAAUUCUACUUCGUAAAAUGAGGUCUGCUGGCGCAAUACAACGGUUUUGUGUUCCAGUAAUGCCUUUAAGGUAUAUCUGAUAGCCACCGACUGUUUGAUAUCGGUAACCAGCUGCCGCAAAACACGUCUACAAAGAUAUAUAUAUAUAUAUAUGUAUAUAAACCAGGAUGAAAUAUUAUUUAAUAAUAAAGGGCAUAAAUAUUUCUAAAAAUGAACGAAUUGUUACAAAAUAAUGGUAAAAAAUAUGUAGAGAAAUAAAACACAAAUACAUUAUAUUCAGUUUAGAACAUGGAAUUGUAUUUUCCAUCUAUUAUUACAAAUAUCAGGCGUGAACACGUCUGACGAUCACAACGAGACAUUGUUUUAUUUUUCUAAGUUAUUGUAAUAAUUAUUCUAAAACGACUUAAACUAGAAAAAAAAAAAUAAAAAGCAUUCUUCUCAUAAAAAAAGUUGAUUCAAACAUAGCACUCAUACUUACUAUUAACUUAACUUAUAUACAUAAAAAAAAUAAGGUUUUUCAGUUUUUUCACUCUUACAAAAAUCACGUUUGCUCAUUCGUUUAAUUUCCG